GACGAACGCUGGCGGCGUGCUUAACACAUGCAAGUCGAGCGGUAAGGCCCUUUCGGGGGUACGACGAGCGGCGAACGGGUAGAGUAACACGUGGGUGACCUGCCCUCAGCUCUGGGAUAAGCCUGGGAAACUGGGUCUAAUACUGGAUAUGACUCCACGGUGCAUGUCGUGGGGUGGAAAGCCUUGUGCGGCUGAGGGUGGGCCCGCGGCCUAUCAGCUUGUUGGUGGGGUGAUGGCCUACCAAGGCGACGACGGGUAGCCGGCCUGAGAGGGCGACCGGCCACACUGGGACUGAGACACGGCCCAGACUCCUACGGGAGGCAGCAGUGGGGAAUCUUGCGCAAUGGGCGAAAGCCUGACGCAGCGACGCCGCGUGAGGGAUGACGGCCUGUGU
RNAcentral lists this ribosomal RNA (394 nucleotides) under uncultured bacterium. Its description in RNAcentral is "bacterial SSU rRNA". It matches the Rfam family "Bacterial small subunit ribosomal RNA", at positions 28 to 421 of the family's 1533-position model. The record is from RNAcentral.